AUCCGCAUGGAUAUGUUGUAAAGGUUUACCGCCUUGGGAUAGGCUUGCGUCUGAUUAGCUAGUUGGUGUGGUAACGGCACACCAAGGCUACGAUCAGUAACUGGUCUGAGAGGAUGAUCAGUCACACUGGAACUGAGACACGGUCCAGACUCCUACGGGAGGCAGCAGUGAGGAAUAUUGGGCAAUGCUCGAAAGAGUGACCCAGCAACGCCGCGUGGAGGAUGAAGGUAUUCUAUAUCGUAAACUCCUGUGAGAGCAGACGAAAGACAGAUUAUUAAUCUGGAUGACUGUAUGCUCAGAGGAAGCCCCGGCUAACUACGUG
Molecule: ribosomal RNA, 322 nt
Filed under: uncultured bacterium
Lineage: Bacteria
Description: bacterial SSU rRNA
Rfam family: Bacterial small subunit ribosomal RNA
Source: RNAcentral